RNAcentral lists this non-coding RNA (23 nucleotides) under Arabidopsis thaliana (thale cress). Lineage: Eukaryota; Viridiplantae; Streptophyta; Magnoliopsida; Brassicales; Brassicaceae. The record is from RNAcentral.
GAUGAAAUCACCGACCGAUGGAU